GACGAACGCUGGGGCGUGCUUAACACCUGCAAGUCGAACGGAAAGGCCCUUUCGGGGGUGCUCGAGUGGCGAACGGGUGAGUAACACGUGGGUGAUCUGCCCUGCACUUGGGGAUAAGCCUGGGAAACUGGGUCUAAUACCGAAUAUGAUCAUGCGCCUCAUGGUGUGUGGUGGAAAGCUUUUGCGGUGUGGGAUGGGCCCGCGGCCUAUCAGCUUGUUGGUGGGGUAAUGGCCUACCAAGGCGACGACGGGUAGCCGGCCUGAGAGGGUGUCCGGCCACACUGGGACUGAGAUACGGCCCAGACUCCUACGGGAGGCAGCAGUGGGGAAUAUUGCACAAUGGGCGCAAGCCUGAUGCAGCGACGCCGCGUGGGGGAUGACGGCCUUCGGGUUGUAAACCUCUUUCAGUACCGACGAAGCGCAAGUGACGGUAGGUACAGAAGGAGCACCGGCCAACUACGUGCCAGCAGCCGCGGUAA
RNAcentral lists this ribosomal RNA (479 nucleotides) under uncultured bacterium. RNAcentral describes it as "partial 16S ribosomal RNA". It matches the Rfam family "Bacterial small subunit ribosomal RNA", at positions 28 to 523 of the family's 1533-position model. The record is from RNAcentral.